This is a long non-coding RNA of Orcinus orca (killer whale), 8220 nucleotides long. RefSeq lists it as uncharacterized. The transcript has 2 exons. The record is from RefSeq and is a predicted model, not a curated record. Lineage: Eukaryota; Metazoa; Chordata; Mammalia; Artiodactyla; Delphinidae.
UCACGCUGACAACGCUGCGGCCCAAUCCACGCCCAGGACAGGUGCCAGUCCCGAAGCGAAGCCCGGAUAAGGCCUAGAGUGCCCGCCCCUGAAAAUCUGCCAGUCACAGCUCUCUUCUCAUCCUGACUCGGAUAAUUUAUCAUCAAAGCUGUGACUUUUCUGCCCGAAUUCCUUGUUGGUCCGAAAAACAAAAUAGCAAGAAUUUAAAAUGGUUCCAGGUUGACAGUGCCACCAAGCACCAGCCGAAACAAUGCAGAUCAUCUCUGGAUGAGCUGAUCUUCAAUCUAGGCCUUGGGGAAUUUCCACAGAUACGGUUCCAAGAAAAAUAGAUUUUGUCAAAAAUGGGAAACAAAUAAGGAGCAAAGAGCCAGGAGUAAGAGCCAGCAAAGAUGGAAAUAGGAAGUAAGAAAAUUAGAAAAUCAAGCCAAAUAGUUCAAUAUCUGAUUAAUAGGAGUUCUAAAAAGAGAGAAAGGUAUGAGAGAGCAAGAUUGCAAAAGACAUACAAGAAAAAAUUUCUGAACUGAACGUCUUUCUGGAUUACAUAGUACACUAUGUGCCUAGCACAGUGAAAGAAAAAGAAUCACGUCAAGACACAUCUUCGUAAAAUCUCAGAAUAUUAGGGGGAAAGAGAAGAUCCAAAAAGAUUUCAAAAAGAGAGAAAGGGACUUCCCUGGUGGAUCCCUGGUCAGGAGCUAAGAUCCUGCGUGCCACAUGACGUGGCCCCCCAGAAAAGAGAGAGAGAGAAAGAGAAAGGAACAGGAAUGAGAAUGGCAACUCAAUACAGUAUUAGAAGAUAGAUGAUGUGACAGUGCCUUUAAAAUUCUGAAGAAACAUGAUCAUUACCCUAGAAUUCUAUACCAGCCAAACGAAUAUAAGACCAAUACGUACCAAUAUAAGAUAAAUAUAGACAUCUUUCAGAUAUGCAAGGAGUGAACAUUUUUACUUCUCUUUCCAAGUAGGCUACUAUAAGAUGUGCUCUGGUAAGCAGGAAAGAGAAACGCAGCAGAGCUAGGGAAUGGAAUGCUGGAUCCACACACAAAACUGGUGGAGGAAAUCUUUGGAAUGAAAGCUACACCACAGACCCAGAAACAACCUGUCCUGACUGAAGUAGGAGAAGGAGGAAACUGCAGGACAGUCUCCAGAGGGGGGGAAAAAACCUGUAAAGCAUCUGACAUGUUUAAAUAUUUGAAAAAGAAUAUGAACAAGUACUUUACAAGUCUGAUGCGACGUGCGGAAAAAAUUAGAGCUAGAUACAUAGAAAAUUAUAUUUUGAAAAAGAGGUAAUUAUAAACUUAGGGGAAAACAAAAAGUUGAAUAAGAACUAGAAAUUAUCUCACCUUUACGUUAAUUGAUUUUCAACAAGAGUGUCAAGACGGGACUUCCCUGGUGGCGCGGUGGUUCAGAAUCCGCCUGCCAAUGCAGGGGACAGGGGUUUGAGCCCUGGUCUGGGAAGAUCCCACAUGCCGCGGAGCAACUAAGCCCAUGCACCACAACUACUGAGCCUGCGCUCUAGGGCCCGCGAACCACAACUACCAAGCCCGCAUGCCACAAGUACUGAAGGCCGCGCGCCUAGAGCCCAUGCUCCAUAACAAGAGAAGCCACUGCAACGAGAAGCCCGCGCACCACAAGAAGAGUAGACCCUGCUCACCGCAACUAGAGAAAGCCCACGCACAGCAACGAAGACCCAACGCAGCCAAAAGUAAUGAAUAAAUUAAUUAAUUUUUUUAAAAAAGAGUGUCAAGACCAUUUAAUGGGGGAAGGAAUAGUCUUUUCAAUAAAUGGUGCUGGGGGACUUCCCUGGUGGUCCAGUGGUUAAGACGCAGUGCUCCCAGUGCAGGGGACCUGGGUUCGAUCCUUGGUCAGGGAACUAGACCCUGCAUGCAUGCCGCAACUAAAACAUUCCACAUGCCACAACAAAGAUCCCACAUGCCACAAAGAAGAUCCCCAAGUGCAGCAACUAAGACCCAGCACAACGUAAAUAAAUAAAUAAAUAAACAAACAAAUAAAUAAAAUAUUUAAAUAAACAAAUGGUGAAAGGACAGCCCACAGAAUGGGAGAAAAUAUUUGCAAAUGAAAAUAUUUAUAUCUGAUACAGUACUGGUAUCUAGAAUAUACAAAGAACCCUUCCAACUCAGUAAUAAAAAAAAUGAAUAACCCAAUUUGAAAAUGGGCAAAGGGUCUAAACUGACAUUUCUCAAAAGAAGACACACAAAUGGCCAAAAAGCACAAGAAAAGAUGCUCCACAUCAUUAACCGUCAAGGAAGCACAAACCAAAGCCACAAUGAGACACUACUUUAUAACCACUAGGAUGGCUACAAUCAAAGAGACAGGUAGUACCAAAUGUUGAUGAGGAUUAAACCAAAUGCUGGAGAAAGUAAACCUUCAUACACUGCUCGUGGAAAUGCAACAUAAUGCAGCCAAUUUGGAAAAGAGCCUGUAGUUUUUCGAACAGUUAAACACAGAGUUACCACGUGACCCAGCAAUUCCACUCCUAGGUAUUUAACCAAGAGAAAUGAAAAUGCCCACACAGAACCUAAUACACGAAUGUUCAUAGCAGCAUCAUUCAGAAUCGCCAAAAAGUAGAAACAGCCCAAAUGUCCACCAACUGAUGAAUGGAUAAAUAUAGUGUGGAAUAGCCAUACAAUGGAAUACUAUUCAGCAAUAAGAGAAGUGGAGUGCUAAUACUUGCUACAACAUGGGGAGAUCUUGUACCUACACUAAGAUAAAGAAGCCAGUCACAAAGGAUCACAUGUUGUAUGAUUCUGUUUAGAUGAAAUAUCCAAAACAGGCAAGAAUCUACAGGGACAGAAAGUGGCUUAGUGGUUGCCUAGAACUGAGAGGAAGGGGGAACUGAUGGUGGCAGCUAAGGGGCAGGGGGUUCAUUUUGGGGUAAUGUUAAAAAUGUUCUAAAGUUGAUUGUGGUAUUGGAUGCACAACUCUGCGAAUAUAUUAAAAGCCAUUGAAUUGGGUGAAUUGUAUGUGGAUUGUAUCUCAAUAAAGAUACCAAGAGGUUUUUUUAAAUAUAAGAAACAUAAGUUAUACCACAGUACACCAUUUGGCUCAGUAGUAAACAAUAUUUAAUAGUUCUAAUAAUGUAAACACUGUCUACUGAUUUAAGGCAAAAUGCUGAUAUAACUAUAAUGAAGAGGCGUGAGGGAUAGGGGUUAUAAGAAAGGAGGACAUUGGGGCGUGUAACUCCAGCUUCCUAACAAAGUAACUAGUAAGGGCCACCAGCUCCCUCUUCCAAAAUCACACGUGAAGAAUCCAUGGAAGCUAUAGGGAAUCAUGAAUCUCAAGAAUUAACAAAGACAAAGGCAUAAGAAUACCUUGGGGAGACUGAAGGCUCUAGUUAUGUGUUCAGUUGCGUCCUCCAAAAGUUUUUAUGUUUAAGUCCUAACACUCAGACCUCAGAAUGUGACCUUAUUUGGACACAGGUUCGUUGCAGAUGUAAUUAGUUGAGAUGAGGUCAUAUUGUUGUAGGGUGGGCCCCUACUCCAGUAUGACUGGUGUCCUUAUAAAAUGGGAAAAUUUGGAGAGACACACACACAGGGAGAACGCCUUGUUAACAUCAAGGCAGAGAUUGGGCUGAUAUGUCUAUAAGCCAGGGAACACCAAAGAUAGCCAGCAAACCACCAGAGGCUAGGAGAGAGGCAUGGAACAAAUUCUGCCUGACAGCCCUGGUGAGGCCUCGUCUCAGACUUCUAACCUUCAGAACCGUGAGUUCAUACAUUUCUGUUGUUUAUGCGACCCAACUCACAGUACUUACGGCCACCCCAGAAAACUAACACAGCUAUCUUGAACCAGCACAUGUGUUAGAUUCCCAAAACAAACAACAAAUAUCAUACAUAGAUAUUACACAUACAUGUGAUGAAAAUACCAAAAGGGACUUGCAAGUGUGCUAAAGUGUUUGACUUGUUAUGAAUACUGAUAAGUUUAAGAAACCAACAGGAGUAAACAAAUAUGAGUGUUUCUUAAAGCAUGAAUCACCCUGAAGACAAAAAUAGAACAUUGUUUUUCUGGAGGACCUCAGGUACAGAAGGUGGAGUUAACUGCUACUCAUCAAUUCAUGACACAUGAUCUCCACUUAUGCAUAGAAAGAUUUCAUUUCAUUUUAUAAUUCCAUUUUUCCUUAUUCCCCUCCCCAGCCAUAGAGAACACUAUAAAUUGUUUGAUAUUUAUAAUUUUGUGUUUUUGCAAAAUGUGUAGUGUCUCCUGCACGUGUUUUUAUUUUUAUUUACUUAUUUUUAAUGGAUUGAUUUUUUAAAAUUAAUUAAUUAAUUAUUAUUUUUGGCUGUGUUGGGUCUUCAUUUCUGUGCGAGGGCUUUCUCUAGUUGUGGCGAGUGGGGGCCACUCUUCAUCGCGGUGCGCGGGCCUCUCACUGUCAUGGCCUCUCUUGCUGCAGAGCACAGGCUCCAGAUGCACAGGCUCCAGAUGCGCAGGCUCAGUGGUUGUGGCUCACGGGUCCAGUUGCUCUGCGGCAUGUGGGAUCUUCCCAGACCAGGGCUCGAACCCAUGUCCCCUGCACUGGCAGGCAGAUUCUCAACCACUGCGCCACCAGGGAAGCCCCAAAUGGAUUGAUUUUUUUAAAAUUAUAUUUAUUUGGUUGUACUCAGUCUUAGUUGCGGCAGGAGGGCUCCUUACUUGUGGCCCAUGAGCUUCUUAGUUGUGGCAUGCGGGCUCCUUAGUUGUGGCAUGCAAACUCUUAGUUGUGGCGUGCAUGUGGUACCUAGUUCCCUGAACAGGGAUCAAACCCAGGCCCCCUGCAUUGGGAGCACGGAGUCUUAACCACUGUACCACCAGGGAAGUCCCGCAUGUAUUUUUAAUUUACAUAAAUGAUAUCAUGUUUUAAAUCUCAUUGUUUUUUCACUCAGCAUGAAUUUUUAAAGAUGAAAUUCAUAUAAUUUGUAAAUGAUCAGUUUGCUCUUUCCUUCCAAUCCUCGCAUGCAUUUAAUUCCUUCCCUCCUUCCUUCCUUUCUCCCUCCCUCCCUUCCUUCCUUUCCCCCUUUCUUUCCUUCUUUGUUUUUACAACACUGACUAGUACCUUCAGUACUAAGUUAAAGUGCAACAGUAAUAGUGGGCAUUCUUGCCUUGUUGCUGAUCUUAAGGGAAUAUAUAUCCACUAAAUAUCUGUUGUUGAUCUCUAGUAUGUCACCUUUACCAAAUUAAGGAAAUUUCCUUCUGUUCCCAGGGUUUUAUUUUUUAAUUAUAAAUAGCUGAAUUACUUAAAUUCUCUUUUCUGUAUCAACUAAGAUCAUCACAGAGGACUAAACCUUCACCCUUCAUAACAGGAAGCUAAUAGAUGUCUCAAACUGAUAAGCCAUGAAGAGCAGGAGGGCAUAUUAUUUCCAAUUACGAUGACAAAUACUAGAAUAGUUCAAAGAAGUGAAAGUCUUUCAUUCUGGGAAGCUAGUUUGGAGCGUAGACUGGGGUUAGGCAGGGGAUUGCUCUUUUUGUCAUAUAACUUCCCCUUCUUUUUGAUUAACUAUAUGCAUGUAUUACUUUGAUUUUUUUAAAAAUAAAGCUUAAUUUAGAAAUAAAUCUUCAAGUCUCCCAACCCAUGUUUUUAAGUGAGAUAAAAUUCAUGCACCAUAUGAAUCCACUCAUUCAGUAUAUACCUAAGUGAUUUUUAGUAUAUUCACAAGGUUGUGCAAUCAUUACCACUAAUUCCAGAACAUUUACAUCAACCCCAAAAGAAACCCUGUACCUGUUAGUAGUCCUCUCCCAUCCCUCACCCCUUACCCCAUCCCCUAGCAACAACUAAUCUACUUUCUGUCUCUGUGAAUUUGCCUAUUCUGGACAUUUCCUGUAAGUGGAAUCAUACAAUACGUAGCCUUUAUGACUGGCUUCUCUCCUCUGCCAUAGUGUUUUCAAGGUUCAUCCAUGUUGUAGCAGUACCUCAUUCUAGUUUAUGGCUGAGUAAUGUUCCAUUGUAUGAAUAGACCACACUUUGUUUAUCCGUUCAUCAGUUGAUGGACAUUUGGGUUGUUUCUUCUUUUUGGCUAUUCGGAAUAAUGCUGCUAUGAGCAUUUGUGCAUAAAUUUUUGUGUGAAUAUGUUUUCAAUUCUCUUGAGUAUAUGUAUACCUAGGAGUGGAAUUGCUAGGUCAUAUGGUAACUCUCUAUGUAACUUUCUGUGGAACUGCCAAACAGUUUUCCAAAGUGUCUGCAUCCUUUUACUAAAGGUUCAGUCUUAAUGGUUCUUUAGAGUCGUCUUUGUGAUCUGACUCUUGCCUCCAUCUCCUGCCCUCUUUAUCACGCACCAACAAAUACCAUUUACAGCUUUCCCAUACACACCAUGCUGUUUCUCACCUCUGGACCUUUGUUUCUGUUUCAUCUGCCUGGAAAGCCUGCUAGCCUCCACUCUUUAAGAUAUCUCAGUAAUGGCCUCCUCCAGAAAGCCUUCCCUGCCCCCACUCCUGCUCCCCCAGGAUAAGCGUCCCUCCUCUCUGAACCUACACAGUAGGUAAUUAACAAACUUUAAAUGCCAUGAUAUAUUUUAUAAUUAUGUUUCUUUUUUUUUUUUUUUUUUUUUUGCGGUACGUGGGUCUCUCACUGUUGUGGCCUCCCCCGUUGCAGAGCACAGGCUCCGGACGCGCAGGCUCAGUGGCCAUGGCUCACAGGCCCAGCCGCUCCGCGGCAUGUGGGAUCUUCCCGGACCGGGGCACGAACCCGUGUCCCCUGCAUCGGCAGGCGGACUCUCAACCACUGCGCCACCAGGGAACCCCCUUUGCUAUUUUUUUAAUUGAAGUGUAGUUGAUUUACAAUGUUGUGUUGAUUUCGCUGUACAGCAAAGUGAUUCAGUUAUACACAUAUAUACAUCCUUUUUUUAUAUCCUUUUCCAUUGUGGUUUAUCCCAGGAGAUUGAAAAUAGUUCCCUGUGCUAUACAGUAGGACCUUGUUGUUUAUCCAUUCUAAAUGUAAUAGUUUGUACCUACUAACCCCAAACUCCCAGUCCAUCCCUCUCCCUCCCCCCUCCCCUUAUAAGUAUGCUUCUUUGUCUACCUCCUGCAUUAUGUGGAAUUCUUUAAAUGCAGGAGUUGUAUCUUUUUUUCUUUGUAUCCCUGGAACCUACUGGUGACCUUCAGUAAAUGGCUGUUGAAUGGAUUACUUCUACAGAUAUUUACCAAGGGCCUAUUAAGAGCCAGUACACAAAGAGACCAGAUAUUAGACUACUACAGUGAACAGACAUGUGCAAGACAGUUCCUGCCCUCAGUGGGAAUGAGGCCUAGUCCGUGGGGAAGGUGGACAAAGAGAUACAUAAAACCAAGCAAGAUCGAAAAGCAAAAAUAUGAGUUCAGAGGCUCAGACAUCUCAAGGUAAAUGGACCUUGGAAAGUAUUCCCUUGUCUUAUUCCACUUUUCCAAAGCCGUGGUAUUUGACCCCGAUUUAGAAUCCCUUAUGGAGCUUUUGAAAAGAUGAAUGCUUGGGACACCAGCUCAGGUUGAUUUCAUUGGUCUGGGUUCUAAUCUUUUUUUUCUCUCUCUUUUUUUUUUAUGUUAUGAAACCUGGAUUUGGGUCCACUUGCCCAAUACACAGCAAAGCCAAUCUGCUGACACCAGGUUGUGAAGGAAAGUAAAGCAUUUAUUGCAAGGCCAAGCAAGAAGGAUGGGUAGCUUAAGCUCAAAAGGCCAGAACUCCCUGAACUCCCCAAUGGCUUUUAGGGAAGGGUUUUUAAAGACGGUGUGAGGGAGUCACAGGGUGCAUGAUCAGCUCGUAUACUUCCUUCUGAUUGGUUGGUGGUGAGGUAACAGGGUGAUGUUUCAGGAAUCUCAAUCAUCAACUUCUGGUUCCAGCCAGUCUGGGGUCUAUGUGUCUGUGGUCAGCAUGUAGUUAACUUCUUACACCUGGUGGGGGUUUAGUAUCUGCAAAACAGCUCAAGGAUACGGCUCAGGAUAUUAUUUAUAACCCUCAGAGAGGAACUAAAGGUCCUUGAUCUUGUUUUAAGGCUAUUUAUUUUGUCUUGCUUGACUGUUUCCUUUUGUUUCUGCAUUUUCUCACUCCUCUGAUUAAAUUUGCUCUUUGGAACCUGGGGAAGGCCUAGGAGGCUAAAGAUGUUCUACAAACAAGAGGCAGGGGACACAAGUGGUGGUGGGGUGUCAGUCACCAGGAAGGCCCCACAGGGUCCCGCUGGGUUUCAAGCUCUGACAAGAAUUCUAACAUGUUGCCAGGAUUGAACAGCACUCGUCUGCAGGGGAAAAAAUAAAUUUAAGCUCUUCAUCCUG